RNAcentral lists this ribosomal RNA (288 nucleotides) under uncultured bacterium. RNAcentral describes it as "partial 16S ribosomal RNA". It matches the Rfam family "Bacterial small subunit ribosomal RNA", at positions 524 to 808 of the family's 1533-position model. The record is from RNAcentral.
UACGGAGGGGGCUAGCGUUGUUCGGAAUUACUGGGCGUAAAGCGCACGUAGGCGGACUGUUAAGUCGGGCGUGAAAUCCCACGGCUCAACCCGUGGAAGUGCACUCGAAACUGCGCAGCUAGAGUCCUGGAGAGGAAGGUGGAAUGCUUGGUGUAGAGGUGAAAUUCGUAGAUAUCAAGCGGAACACCGGUGGCGAAGGCGGCCUUCUGGACAGUGACUGACGCUGAGAUGCGAAAGCGUGGGGAGCAAACAGGAUUAAGAAACCCCGGGUGAGCCCAGAACCGAACG